CUGGUNAGGGGCUCGAUGUCGCCCCGCUGCGACUUCCUGACCCGGAGCUUUGCCCGCAUCGCUGGCUGCACUUAGGUAGCGCUGUCAUGCCCUACCCGGAGCUCCGCUAUUUAAAUAAUUUAGUGGCGGCAGCAGCAGCGCUUCCCUGCCCGCUUGUCACCUUCUCCCGGCCCCCGCCAUCAAUUAUUCAGGACCAUCCCGGUAACUGCCUGGAGUCGGGCGCGGAGAACAGGGCGACGGCGGGGCCCUGCCUGGGGCCGGUCGCUGGAUCUUGGAGGCCUGGAAGAAGCGCGACCGGCCCUCGGGGCGGCAGCCCCCACCGGACCGCGAAAAGUUACUGUCACCUCGCCCCGGCGGAGAGAGGUUGCGGGAGGAUCCCCGCCGUCUGUCGGUUCCCAGGGGGACGGGACUAGGGGGCGGGUGGCAGGACGCGGCGAGGCCGCACGGACUGCUUCGGAUCAACCCGGGCGUCCGGACUGAAUGCCGGUGGCAGCUUUGCUCCUCCUCGGUCGGUCCGGUGUCCCCAACUCCCACUUCCCCACCAUCCGCUCCCCCGCCCUUCCCCUUCUCCCGGCUCCUCCUCCUCUCCUUCCUUCUCAGCCCUCCCCCAGCCCGACUACCCCUGCCCUUGCGCCUUUCUGCCCUGGGUCUCUCCUGUCACCACCGCGUCGUCCUGCCACGCUUCCCCUUCCCCACCCAGCCUGCCCUACGCCCUUCCUUGGCGCGGCACUGCGCUCCUCUUUCGCGUGCGAGAUGUAUUAUUUAUUUAUUGGUGUUUAAUUUCCUGCCAGGUGGGUUUCUGCCUCCCACCCGUGAGCGUAGCGGAGCCGGGGCUCCGCGGGGCGGGCCGGGCCGGGAGGAGGUGGGCUGCUGCGUGCCCGUCUGUGCCCGAUUCCGAGGUAGCAGCGAGACUUGAUUUUUGCGGGGGGGCGGGGAGGGGGAGGGGUGUCAAGGCGAGGAGGGGUGGCGAUGUUUGGGAUGCACAGCCCUGGGACGGGAACGCCGCGCAGACAGACAGGCAGACACACACACAGGCGUGCACAUACACCAAACCCGAAAGCAAGGACAACCCCAAAAAGGACUCACUUUGCCUCGAUGACUCAACGCAACUAAUAACCGUUUCUCUGCUCUCUGUGGCGAGUCCCUCCUGCCGCUGCUCUCGUUGGCAGAGGAGGGAGCGAUUGAAAGUGACACACGGGGGGCCGCCGCCGCCACUUCUCCGCGCCGCCAGGCACUCGCCGCCGCCGCGGAGCCCGGGAGAGCGGCGCUCCCUCCUCUUCUCCUCCCCCUGUUUACCCCCGGUAUUGAUUUUCUCCGCUGAAGGUGUGAGAAGUCGGCUCCCUCUCCCUUCUUUUCUGCGCCGCAGCCGCCGGCCCCACGCCUCCCCGCCCCCUCGUCCCGACCUC
RNAcentral lists this long non-coding RNA (1406 nucleotides) under Serinus canaria (Common canary). RNAcentral describes it as "lncRNA (ENSSCAG00000002806.1)". Lineage: Eukaryota; Metazoa; Chordata; Aves; Passeriformes; Fringillidae. The record is from RNAcentral.